GCCCCGGUGGUGAAACCGGUAGACACACAGCCUUGAGGUGGCUGUGCCCGUCAGGGCGUGCACGUUCGAAUCGUGCUCGGGGCA
Molecule: transfer RNA, 84 nt
Filed under: Yimella lutea
Lineage: Bacteria; Bacillati; Actinomycetota; Actinomycetes; Micrococcales; Dermacoccaceae
Description: tRNA-Leu
Source: RNAcentral